RNAcentral lists this ribosomal RNA (391 nucleotides) under uncultured bacterium. Its description in RNAcentral is "bacterial SSU rRNA". It matches the Rfam family "Bacterial small subunit ribosomal RNA", at positions 28 to 420 of the family's 1533-position model. The record is from RNAcentral.
GACGAACGCUGGCGGCGUGCUUAACACAUGCAAGUCGAGCGGAAAGGCCCUUUCGGGGGUACUCGAGCGGCGAACGGGUGAGUAACACGUGAGUAAUCUGCCCUUGGCUUUGGGAUAACUACCGGAAACGGUGGCUAAUACCGGAUAUGACCAUGCUCGGCAUCGGGUGUGGUGGAAAGUUUUUUUCGGCCAGGGGAUGUGCUCGCGGCCUAUCAGCUUGUUGGUGGGGUAAUGGCCUACCAAGGCUUCGACGGGUAGCCGGCCUGAGAGGGUGACCGGCCACACUGGGACUGAGACACGGCCCAGACUCCUACGGGAGGCAGCAGUGGGGAAUAUUGGACAAUGGGCGGAAGCCUGAUCCAGCAAGCCGCGUGAGGGAUGACGGCCUCGG